Molecule: long non-coding RNA, 511 nt
Organism: Gallus gallus (chicken)
Lineage: Eukaryota; Metazoa; Chordata; Aves; Galliformes; Phasianidae
Source: Ensembl
GGCAGUGGAGGUGAAGGUAUCUCUCUAGAGAUCCCUGUAUACCUAAGGAUUUUACAGGCCUUCUGAAGCCUCUGCCUGCAGUCUAUGGAUUCAUAGUCUGGGACCUAACAGCUCCUGCAGCUCCAUGUGGUUUCCAUCACCAGCAUGGGAAGGGCCUGAGUACCUUGCAGGAGAGACAGUUGCUGCUGCCUGGCCAGGUUAGUUAACAUCUGAUGUUACCAGCUGUAAUGUUGGAAGGUCUGCACCUUGUUGGCAUGAACAAGGAUCUGAUUGGUAAGAAGUUAUUUCAGCUACAGAAGAAGCCUGUCAAAGAUGGACUGACUACAAACUUCAGUAAUUAGCAGGUUCUUAAAGCUAAUGACAGUGAGAACAAGCCCAAAAUUGAAUGCUGUGUAGUCCUAAGGUCGCUUGACCAGCUGUUAGACAGGAUUUUGUCUCCAUGCAACUCCUGAUUGUGGCUAUAGUGGAGUCUCUUAAACUUUCAGUCGUCUGCUUCCUGACUCAUCUCCUG